Molecule: ribosomal RNA, 292 nt
Filed under: uncultured bacterium
Lineage: Bacteria
Description: partial 16S ribosomal RNA
Rfam family: Bacterial small subunit ribosomal RNA
Source: RNAcentral
GUGUCAGCAGCCGCGGUAAUACGUAGGGUGCGAGCGUUAAUCGGAAUUACUGGGCGUAAAGCGUGCGCAGGCGGUUCGUUAAGUUCGUUGUGAAAGCCCCGGGCUCAACCUGGGAACUGCAAUGGAAACUGGCGGGCUUGAGUGUGGCAGAGGGGGGUGGAAUUCCGCGUGUAGCAGUGAAAUGCGUAGAGAUGCGGAGGAACACCGAUGGCGAAGGCAGCCCCCUGGGCCAACACUGACGCUCAGGCACGAAAGCGUGGGGAGCAAACAGGAUUAGAAACCCUCGUAGUCC